AGCAUGUAGGUGUAUACCAGUAUGCAGCUACCCUAUGUACAUGUGCAUCUUAUCUUUAUUUAUGGGUGCGGCUGAAUGUGACGGAUUUGCGGCCUGCCUUGUAACACCAACCAGCGCCACCAAAACAAGACAGAUAAACAAACAAACAAACAAACGAACGAACGGAAGACACAGGCUGGGCGAUGCGUAAUGAGAGACAUGCGGGAGCGCGCGCGCGCGCGCACGAUCGAGCGGCUGGUCUAAUUCGUGAGAUCGUGACGCGUUAAUAAAAACAAAAUGGUGGAGCCGCUGCUGUAGGGGCAAACUAAACAGCCUGCACAGCCGGGCGAAAUUAGAAAGAGGUGCAAUUUAUUGCGGCCUCGUCAUAUGUGCAUCAGUGCGAGCGAUGCACGCACGCACGCGCGCGCGCGCGCAUCCCGACUUAUGCACAGACGAGCGGAAACCGGGCCUUUAGAUCAUCAUGGUCAUCCUUCCUUCCAUCCAUCCAUCCAUGCACACGCUAUCGCUAUACACACAUCCUUAAUAAAUUACACCGGGAUAAAUGCACCGCGCGUUAUUGAUGUUACCUCUCAUACAGGCACGAGGGGGUGGGGGUAUCGGGGGAGGGGGACACGGCAAGCACGCGCACCAACACCGACUCCGACACAGGUCCCUCCCUUCUUCUUCUUCUUCUUCUUCUUCUUCUUCAGUACCGGGCUCCACUAUAAACCCUCUCCUUUUAUUCCACGGCGUAAUGCGUUGUUUUUUCUCUUUUAAAGAAAUCCACCGACUGGUCACGAGCAAAACGGAAGCAAGGAAGACACCCGUGAUGUCGCCAUCGUCGCUCGCGCUCAGCAGCGGAUGAACCGAAUGACCCUGAACGGGAACGGAGAGCUACGCAGACGAGACACCAGUGGUAGAGAUGAUGGAGAUGAGGCGGGAGGAAGUAUCAGUUGUGGCAGAGGACAGACACGCAGAGAGUCCGAUUUCUCGUCUCGGGUAACCGGAGCGGGUCUAAACCGCUGGUCUGUUCUAUCUUACUGAUGACCACAAAGGCACAAUAGAGGCAAGAGGCACUACUAAAACAAUCCAGAGUGGUUCUGAAUCUUCUACAGGAUGGCAGGAUCAGGAGUGGCACUGCGACUUCAUGAGUUUAAGGAAAGAAAUGUGAUCGGUCAGCAACAUGGAUCGAUGAACCUGAUGAGCGUAAAGUGUCCACCAGAGGAAGAGCAAACAUACCAGCGGAGCUUCGACCUUAUCACGCUACAGGCCCUGGAGAUGAGAGCAACACACACACCUCAUAAUACACACCGGACAUCUCACACUGUGUACCAGCAGCAGUUCGGACGCCAGGCUCACCUUUACC
Ictalurus punctatus (channel catfish) is the source of this 1345-nucleotide long non-coding RNA. NCBI's taxonomy places the organism in Eukaryota, Metazoa, Chordata, Actinopteri, Siluriformes, Ictaluridae. The record is from Ensembl.